This 465-nucleotide ribosomal RNA is filed under the name Vreelandella stevensii. Its description in RNAcentral is "partial 16S ribosomal RNA". It matches the Rfam family "Bacterial small subunit ribosomal RNA", at positions 338 to 795 of the family's 1533-position model. The record is from RNAcentral. Lineage: Bacteria; Pseudomonadati; Pseudomonadota; Gammaproteobacteria; Oceanospirillales; Halomonadaceae.
CCUACGGGGGGCAGCAGUGGGGAAUAUUGGACAAUGGGGGGAACCCUGAUCCAGCCAUGCCGCGUGUGUGAAGAAGGCCCUCGGGUUGUAAAGCACUUUCAGUGAGGAAGAACGCCUGGUGGUUAAUACCCAUCAGGAAAGACAUCACUCACAGAAGAAGCACCGGCUAACUCCGUGCCAGCAGCCGCGGUAAUACGGAGGGUGCGAGCGUUAAUCGGAAUUACUGGGCGUAAAGCGCGCGUAGGUGGCUUGAUAAGCCGGUUGUGAAAGCCCCGGGCUCAACCUGGGAACGGCAUCCGGAACUGUCAAGCUAGAGUGCAGGAGAGGAAGGUAGAAUUCACGGUGUAGCGGUGAAAUGCGUAGAGAUCGGGAGGAAUACCAGUGGCGAAGGCGGCCUUCUGGACUGACACUGACACUGAGGUGCGAAAGCGUGGGUAGCAAACAGGAUUAGAUACCCCAGUAGUC